CCUACGGGCGGCAGCAGUGAGGAAUAUUGGUCAAUGGACGGAAGGCUGAACCAGCCAUGCCGCGUGCAGGAAGAAGGCUCUAUGAGUUGUAAACUGCUUUUGUACAAGGGUAAAACUGAAUACGUGUAUUCAGCUGAAAGUACUGUACGAAUAAGGAUCGGGUAACUCCGUGCCAGCAGCCGCGGUAAUACGGAGUAUCCAAGCGUUAUCCGGAUGUAUUGGGUUUAAAGGGUGCGUAGGCGGAUUGAUAAGUUAUAGGUGAAAUGGCCGAGCUUAACUCUGGAACUGCCUCUAAUACUGUUGAUCUAGAGAGUAGAUGCGGUAGGCGGAAUGUAUGGUGUAGCGGUGAAAUGCUUAGAGAUCAUACAGAACACCGAUUGCGAAGGCAGCUUACCAAUCUAUAUCUGACGUUGAGGCACGAAAGCGUGGGGAGCAAACAGGAUUAGAUACCCGGGUAGUC
This 460-nucleotide ribosomal RNA is filed under the name uncultured bacterium. RNAcentral's name for it is "partial 16S ribosomal RNA". It matches the Rfam family "Bacterial small subunit ribosomal RNA", at positions 338 to 795 of the family's 1533-position model. The record is from RNAcentral.